RNAcentral lists this ribosomal RNA (909 nucleotides) under Fusulus interruptus. Its description in RNAcentral is "partial large subunit ribosomal RNA". The record is from RNAcentral. Lineage: Eukaryota; Metazoa; Mollusca; Gastropoda; Stylommatophora; Clausiliidae.
UUAAACUAUAAGCUGAAGAAGUGCUAAUCUCCCGAAGAAAGAAGAGCUAAUUAAAGAAAUAUUUAUUGGAAAUAUUUAUUUAGGAGCAGUGUUGCAUAACUGUAGAACUUCUAUCUUUAGUUAGGGGUGAAAGGCUAAUCAAUUCUUUCUGAUAUCUGGUAUUAACUGAAAUAUAUUUAGUAGUUUUAAGGCAAAUUCAAAGGGCUAAGCUUUUGAGUAAGUAAAAAAAGGUAAAUUAUCUCUUAAUUCUGCUUUACUAAUAUAAAGCAGAUUAGGCUAAAUUAAUAAUUAAUCAUACCAAAAAUUUUAGGAUUAUAUUCUAGGUUAAAAUUUAAGUGCUAAAGAAUUUUAUAUUAAAAUUUAUAAUGUUUAAAUAAGUAUAAUUCUAAAUUAAAAAGACAUAAGGAACUUGGCAAAUAUUAUCUUCAACUGUUUAUCAAAAACAUAGCUGAUUGCCUAUUAUAAUAAUUAGUUUGCUCUGCCCGGUGGUAUUACUUAACGGCCGCAGUACACUGACUGUGCAAAGGUAGCAUAAUAAAUUGGCUUUUAAUUGGAGUCGGGUAUGAAAGAGUGCAUGGGGAUAUGCUGUCUUAUUAACUUCUAAGUAAAAAUUACUAAGCAAGUGAAAAUUCUUGCAGAAUUUUCUAUUAGACGAGAAGACCCUAUAAAUUUUAACUAAUAUAGUAAAUUUAUUUAUGAAUCGUUUUUGUUGGGGCAACAUAUUAACAGUAUUAAUAAAAAUUAAUAAAUUACUACUUAAUUUAAUAGGUCGAGUUUAUACUAAAUAUAAAUAAAUUACUAUAGGGAUAACAGCAUAAUUUUAUAAUUAAGAUUGUGACCUCGAUGUUGGAUUAGGAAACUAUUGAGUUAAAAACUCAUUAGUUUGGUUCUGUUCGAACUUAAUCUCCU